UGCGGGAUCGUCUAAUGGUAGGACGAUAGCCUUUGGAGCUAUCUAUCAUGGUUCGAAUCCAUGUCCCGCAACUA
This 74-nucleotide transfer RNA is filed under the name Candidatus Daviesbacteria bacterium RIFCSPHIGHO2_01_FULL_40_24. Its description in RNAcentral is "tRNA-Gln". It matches the Rfam family "tRNA". From Rfam's summary of the family: Transfer RNA (tRNA) molecules are approximately 80 nucleotides in length. RNAcentral also lists the same sequence under 5 other names. Lineage: Bacteria; Candidatus Daviesiibacteriota. The record is from RNAcentral.